RNAcentral lists this ribosomal RNA (518 nucleotides) under uncultured Treponema sp. RNAcentral's name for it is "bacterial SSU rRNA". It matches the Rfam family "Bacterial small subunit ribosomal RNA", at positions 511 to 1030 of the family's 1533-position model. Lineage: Bacteria; Pseudomonadati; Spirochaetota; Spirochaetia; Treponematales; Treponemataceae. The record is from RNAcentral.
GCAGCCGCGGUAACACGUAAGCCCCAAGCGUUGUUCGGAAUUAUUGGGCGUAAAGGGCAUGUAGGCGGUUAUGUAAGCCUGAUGUGAAAUCUACGAGCUUAACUCGUAAACUGCAUUGGGUACUGCGUAACUUGAAUCACGGAGGGGAAACCGGAAUUCCAAGUGUAGGGGUGGAAUCUGUAGAUAUUUGGAAGAACACCGGUGGCGAAGGCGGGUUUCUGGCCGAUGAUUGACGCUGAGAUGCGAAGGUGCGGGGAGCAAACAGGAUUAGAUACCCUGGUAGUCCGCACAGUAAACAAUGUACACUAGGCGUUGGAGCAAGAGCUUCAGUGCCGACGCAAACGCAUUAAGUGUACCGCCUGGGAAGUAUGCCCGCAAGGGUGAAACUCAAAGGAAUUGACGGGGGCCCACACAAGCGGUGGAGCAUGUGGUUUAAUUCGAUGAUACGCGAGGAACCUUACCUGGGUUUGACAUCAAGAGUAAUGGUAUAGAGAUAUAUCAGCGUAGCAAUACGACUC